CAGGCCUAACACAUGCAAGUCGAGCGGAAACGAGUUAUCUGAACCUUCGGGGAACGAUAGCGGCGUCGAGCGGCGGACGGGUGAGUAAUGCCUAGGAAAUUGCCCUGAUGUGGGGGAUAACCAUUGGAAACGAUGGCUAAUACCGCAUGAUGCCUACGGGCCAAAGAGGGGGACCUUCGGGCCUCUCGCGUCAGGAUAUGCCUAGGUGGGAUUAGCUAGUUGGUGAGGUAAGGGCUCACCAAGGCGACGAUCCCUAGCUGGUCUGAGAGGAUGAUCAGCCACACUGGAACUGAGACACGGUCCAGACUCCUACGGGAGGCAGCAGUGGGGAAUAUUGCACAAUGGGCGC
This 349-nucleotide ribosomal RNA is filed under the name Vibrio harveyi. Its description in RNAcentral is "bacterial SSU rRNA". It matches the Rfam family "Bacterial small subunit ribosomal RNA", at positions 43 to 378 of the family's 1533-position model. Lineage: Bacteria; Pseudomonadati; Pseudomonadota; Gammaproteobacteria; Vibrionales; Vibrionaceae. The record is from RNAcentral.